This 189-nucleotide non-coding RNA is filed under the name Oceanobacillus picturae. Lineage: Bacteria; Bacillati; Bacillota; Bacilli; Caryophanales; Bacillaceae. The record is from RNAcentral.
UUGAAUAGGAAAAAGAUGGGUUGGGCUAUACCGAGGUAUAGCUCAUUAAAAGGGAAGUCCGGUGCAAUUCCGGUGCGGUCCCGCCACUGUAAAUGGGAGUUUUCUAUUGCAUACCACUGUCACUUGAUGGGAAGGUCAUAGAAAAUGAAGAUCAUGAGCCAGGAGACCUGCCUGUUUUUUUACACCAUU